GACGAACGCUGGCGGCGUGCCUAAUACAUGCAAGUAGAACGCUGAAGGAGGAGCUUGCUUCUCUGGAUGAGUUGCGAACGGGUGAGUAACGCGUAGGUAACCUGCCUGGUAGCGGGGGAUAACUAUUGGAAACGAUAGCUAAUACCGCAUAAGAGUAGAUGUUGCAUGACAUUUGCUUAAAAGGUGCAAUUGCAUCACUACCAGAUGGACCUGCGUUGUAUUAGCUAGUUGGUGGGGUAACGGCUUACCAAGGCGACGAUACAUAGCCGACCUGAGAGGGUGAUCGGCCACACUGGGACUGAGACACGGCCCAGACUCCUACGGGAGGCAGCAGUAGGGAAUCUUCGGCAAUGGACGGAAGUCUGACCGAGCAACGCCGCGUGAGUGAAGAAGGUUUUCGGAUCGUAAAGCUCUGUUGUAAGAGAAGAACGAGUGUGAGAGUGGAAAGUUCACACUGUGACGGCAUCUGACCAGAAAGGGACGGCUAACUACGUG
Molecule: ribosomal RNA, 495 nt
Filed under: uncultured bacterium
Lineage: Bacteria
Description: partial 16S ribosomal RNA
Rfam family: Bacterial small subunit ribosomal RNA
Source: RNAcentral